Molecule: ribosomal RNA, 1352 nt
Filed under: metagenome
Description: bacterial LSU rRNA
Rfam family: Bacterial large subunit ribosomal RNA
Source: RNAcentral
GGUGAUCGGGACUAAGCACGUCACCGAAGUCGUGGAUUCAUAAUUUUUAAUUAUGAGUGGUAGGAGAGCGUUCCGUAGGCCUGGGAAGGCGGGUGGUGAUGCCCGCUGGAGGUAUCGGAAAUGAGAAUGCUGGCAUGAGUAUGCGAAAAUGCAGGUGAAAAACCUGCACACCGUAAGUCUAAGGUUUCCUGGGUAAAGCUAAUCUUCCCAGGGUUAGUCGGGUCCUAAGGCGAGGCCGAGAGGCGUAGUCGAUGGCAAUCGGGUUAAUAAUCCCGAACCGCAAAUAACGCGUUAUUACCGAUGGGGUGACGCAUGGAGCAGAAUUUAGCCACUGAUGGAUGUGGCGGAUUGCGCGUAAGAUGUACAGGUGGCAAAUCCCCUGUACGCAUAUCUGAGACGCAGGACCUUUUGAGGGCUUCGGCCCAAAGAAGAGUAAUUCCGGUCUGUGCCAGGAAAAACCUCUAAGGGAGUUUUAUUUGUGCCCGUACCGUAAACCGACACAGGUAGACGAGGCGAAUAGCCUAAGGUGCUCGAGACAACUCGGGAGAAGGAACUCGGCAAAUUAACCCCGUAACUUCGGGAUAAGGGGAGCCUCCAUUUGUUAGUGUGAACAGCACAAAGCAUAAGGAGGCCGCAGAGAAAUGGCAGAAGCGACUGUUUACCAAAAACACAGGGCUAUGCAAACCCGUAAGGGAAAGUAUAUAGUCUGACACGUGCCCGGUGCUGGAAGGUUAACAGGAGAUGUCAGCGCAAGCGAAGCAUUGAAUCGAAGCCCCAGUAAACGGCGGCCGUAACAAUAACGGUCCUAAGGUAGCGAAAUUCCUUGUCGGGUAAGUUCCGACCUGCACGAAUCGUGUAACGACUUCUGCACUGUCUCCUCCCGGGACUCGGCGAAAUUGCAGUGUCGGUGAAGAUGCCGACAACCCGCACCUGGACGGAAAGACCCCAUGAACCUUCACUGUAUUUUGACAUUGGUUUUAGGCUUGACAUGUGUAGGAUAGGUGGGAGGCUUUGAAGCGGUGACGCCAGUCAUCGUGGAGCCAUCCUUGAAAUACCACCCUUGUCCGGUUUGAGAUCUAACCGUGGCCCGUCAUCCGGGUCCGGGACCGUGUCUGAUGGUCAGUUUGACUGGGGCGGUCGCCUCCUAAAUGGUAACGGAGGCAUCCAAUGGUUCCCUCAGCGCGGUCGGUAAUCGCGCGUAGAGCAUAAAGGCAUAAGGGAGCUUGACUGCGAGACAGACAUGUCGAGCAGGUACGAAAGUAGGGCUUAGUGAUCCCGCGGUACAGCGUGGAACGGCCGUUGCUCAAUGGAUAAAAGGUACUCUGGGGAUAACAGGCUGAUCUCCCCCAACC